UACGAGGGAUCCUAGCGUUGUUCGGAAUCAUUGGGCGUAAAGGGUGCGUAGGUGGCCAUACAAGUCAGUUGUGAAAGCCCCGGGCUCAACCCGGGAAGUGCUUCUGAUACUGUUUGGCUUGAGUACUAGAGAGGUGAGUAGAAUUCCAGGUGUAGUGGUGAAAUACGUAGAUAUCUGGAGGAAUACCGGUGGCGAAGGCAGGUCUCUGGGCCACUACUGACGCUGAGAAGCGAAAGCAUGGGGAGCGAACAGG
RNAcentral lists this ribosomal RNA (253 nucleotides) under uncultured bacterium. RNAcentral describes it as "partial 16S ribosomal RNA". It matches the Rfam family "Bacterial small subunit ribosomal RNA", at positions 524 to 776 of the family's 1533-position model. The record is from RNAcentral.